This 304-nucleotide ribosomal RNA is filed under the name uncultured Candidatus Saccharibacteria bacterium. RNAcentral describes it as "bacterial SSU rRNA". It matches the Rfam family "Bacterial small subunit ribosomal RNA", at positions 28 to 351 of the family's 1533-position model. The record is from RNAcentral. Lineage: Bacteria; Candidatus Saccharimonadota.
GAUGAACGCUGGCGGCGUGCCUAAUACAUGCAAGUCGUGCGGAAAGGCCCUUCGGGGUACUCGAGCGGCGGACGGCAGAGUAACGCGUAGGAACAUACCCCAAAGUGAGGGAUAACUGCUCGAAAGAGUAGCUAAUACCGCAUGUGAUCUUCGGAUUAAAGCUUUAUGCGCUUUGGGAAUGGCCUGCGUUCGAUUAGCUAGUUGGUGAGGUAAUAGCUCACCAAGGCUACGAUCGAUAACUGGUCUGAGAGGAUGAUCAGUCUGACUGGAACUGAGACACGGUCCAGACUCCUACGGGAGGCAG